AAAAACAAAUUUUGUAAGAAUGUUAUGUGUAUUUCAUUUCAUUGUUUUGGACUGGAAAAAUGUUCAGUGUUUUAUAUUGAUGAGGACAUCAAUACCAUUGUUACACCCACAACCCCUACUACUACAUAUACUGGACCAAUUACUAGAGAUCGUGCACGCCAAUUAAAUUAUCAGGUACUUUCAUUUCUUGGUAAUGAUUCUAAUGUUCAUGAGAAUAUGAUGCUGCCUAAAUUGGAUACAUUUGUUUUGCUUACAAAUGAAGGGCCUAGCUUGGAGAAGGAUGAACAUUGGAGCAAGAACAAUCAUGGAGUUGAUGGCAUGCGCAAG
RNAcentral lists this ribosomal RNA (327 nucleotides) under Triticum aestivum (bread wheat). RNAcentral's name for it is "partial small subunit ribosomal RNA". Lineage: Eukaryota; Viridiplantae; Streptophyta; Magnoliopsida; Poales; Poaceae. The record is from RNAcentral.